UGGGGGUAGAAUGUCGACCAUGAAGAGAACUGAAAGCUUAUGGUUGGAAAAGGACUGAGGCCUCACCUGGGGAGAAAGGCAGAUCAAGGACUUGGUGGAUUAUAUUUGUACAGAAUCACUUAAAAAAUACAACUGAUGAAAUUUCUAAGUAAAAGACCAAGGAUAAAAAGAAAAAUUCUGCCAGGGUCCUGGAGGGGCCAUGAACAGCCUGUACGAAUGGGCAGAACAUGGACCAGAUGACUAGAGCUCCAGCUGCCAUCUUAUAUCAUGAAUAUGCCUUCAGAGAAGAGAAAUACACAACAGGAAAGUGGAGCAAAAGAAAAGGAAGAUCUUAAGUUUGUGGUGACCUUGGGACUGCAACACAUCCCCUACUGCCUGCAUUCUGAUUCUAUUACACUUCUAAUGCAACCCGCUCUUGUUUGAGGAUUUCUAAAGCUAAGUCAUAGACCUACGUUCAGGUUGGGUUGGUGGUAAAGAGCAGGUUGAAGGUUGCUGUGCCAUAUAGGGAUCAUGCAUUUUAUAUUAUGCAAUACACAAUUUCUACACAAUUUCACAACCAGAGUUAGUGCCAAGCACAAUGAUAUCUUCCAAUCUCUGUAUCAACAUCCAUUUUGAUGGUUUAGUGUCUUGUCCAUGUCCGUUAUUAAAUGUUUUCAUCCCUAUGUGAUACAGCAUGGUACAGGCAUCAUGUGGAUGUGACUUAGGUCACAACACAGAAGAACGACUUCAUCUCUCAUAACAGCCACUUCUCCUGUUGAACUUUACAAAAGCUGUUAUUGAACUCAUUUAUCUUCCUCUAUAUACUCUCUUAAUGAAGAUUUUAUGAAACAAAGUGAUCUUUGAAAUAGCAAUUCCAUGUAAAGUAUUUCUAAAUAUCCAAAAGUUAGUUUUGUGAUUAUUAAAAUAGUUGAG
Long non-coding RNA from Talpa occidentalis (Iberian mole), 912 nucleotides. RefSeq lists it as uncharacterized. NCBI's taxonomy places the organism in Eukaryota, Metazoa, Chordata, Mammalia, Eulipotyphla, Talpidae. The record is from RefSeq and is a predicted model, not a curated record. The transcript is spliced from 3 exons.